GGGUCAGUAGGUUGGUCGUGCCACCGGUACGUACUGGUCUCACUGAUUCCUCCUUCCUGAAGAACCGUAAUGCCAUUAAUUUGGUGUUGCGGGGAAACAGGACUGUUACUUUGAAAAAGUUAGAGUGUUUAAAGCAAGCUAACGCUUGAAUACAUUAGCAUGGAAUAAUGAAAUAGGACGAUCGAUCCUAUUUUGCUGGUUUCUAGGAUUGACGUA
Molecule: ribosomal RNA, 216 nt
Filed under: Glomeromycotina sp.
Lineage: Eukaryota; Fungi; Glomeromycota
Description: partial small subunit ribosomal RNA
Rfam family: Eukaryotic small subunit ribosomal RNA (bases 40-216)
Source: RNAcentral